This 2436-nucleotide long non-coding RNA is filed under the name Marmota monax (woodchuck). Lineage: Eukaryota; Metazoa; Chordata; Mammalia; Rodentia; Sciuridae. The record is from RNAcentral.
GAAAAAUCUGAACAGACAGUCCACAAAAACAGCAUAAUAUUAACAGGAUGUCAGGGUUUACAGAUUUUCCCAUUUCCUCUGUAAAAAUCUUACCAUUACCAAAACAUGGAACUGCCACUUUUGCCUUUAAAUAACUGUUUAAAAAACUACUUUUCCAAGGAAUUAUUCGUUCAUCAGACACUGAACACCUACUAUGCACAGUUGCUCAACUAUGUAUAGGUGGACCUUGUUCCUUCUGAUCCUUCCUAUAACACAACUGCAUGAUCAUGUGUUAUGCAGAAGAUAAAACAAGAACAAUAAAAUCUACUAUUUAAUAUGUGUCAGCUAUACUUUCUAAGCAUGUCACAUAUAUUAAAGACAGGUAGUCCAUAACAAUCCUUUUCAAGUGUUGCUUAUAAGCUGCUCAACUAUCUGUCUAGAAUAUCAACUCUUCCUUAUUGCUCUUCCUGAUCUGCUUCCCUGCCACAAUUGCAUCUCUGGCUAUUAGCCUCUCCUAAUCUGGCCCAUUCUGCCCUAUGAUGGAACCAUAAUUCUGGAAGGACCCAAACAUCUUUCAACUAGGAGUUCAGGAGUACAUAAAAAAAGAUUUCUGUCAGUGAUUCCAGGAGCUAAAUAAAACAAACUUUGGAUUAAACUGAGAAAGAAAUAAGAACAAAUUAGCAAGUGAUUCAAGUUUCCAGGAUUGAGCCAACCAACUUGAGAGGGAAACUGAAGAUUUUAACAUUAUGUUAACCUCUGACAGGCUGAAAUAGCAAUAAAACCAUAUUUGUAAUUACAUAUUUAGCUACAGUUUUGGCCCUGCUAGCUACCUAACCUGAGAACAUCAGAGUUAGAAAUUACCUUAACAAAUGGAGAAGCUGAGGCCUAAAGUGGUAGAAAAACUUAUGCCAGUUCUUACAAAUCCCUACUACAAAGAAUAAGCCAAAUAAUAUUGACCAAACUAUACUGUUUUAUUGAGUGCAUGUACAAAUACAGUAUACAUAACAACAAAUCCCACCAUUACGUACUACUAUAAUACACCAAUAACAAAUAUGGAGAAAAAAAGAAGUAGGCCAGGUGCAGUGGUACAUACUCGUAAUCUAAGCAUCUUUGGGAGCUGAGACAGGAGUAUUGCAAGUUUGAGGCCAGUCUGAGUCAAGUAAACAGACCCUGUCUCAAAAUAAAAUGUUAAAAGGGGGUCUGCUGGGAUGUAGCUCAGAGGUACAGCGUACCUGGGUUUGAUCCCUAAUAUCACAGGAGAAGGAGGGGGGACAGGGAAGAUGUGUCACAUAAUCAACAAACCCAGACAGAGGACCAGGUGAACCUUGUUCAGCUGGUCAUCCACUAUCUGAUCCUUCCUAUAAUACAACCACCCUGUCAUGUGAUUACACAAUGUGGACAUGAAUUCUCCAAUUUCUGAAGCACUCCUUUUCUUCUCAGAGACUGCAUUCAUGUGUUGGAAAGUUCAAAUUAUAAGAAAUUGUUUACAUUGUUAUUACAAAUUUAUAACUGAUGAAAACUUUUAAUAUUUAUGGGUAUUGUGAAAUGUUUUAAUACAUACAUGUGUUAUAUAAUAUUUAAAUACAUUGAAAUGUUUCGAUACAUAUAUAUGUUAUAUAAUAUUUAAAUAAGUUUAAUAUAUUUAUCUCCUCCAACAUUUGUCAUUUCUUUAUGGUGAAAAAAUUCAAAAUCCUCUCUUAUACCUUUUUGAAACUCAUAGUACAUUAUUGUUCUCUUCAGUUGCCCUACUCUGCAUUAGCACACCAGAACUACUUACUCCUGUAUAACUCUAACUUGGUACCCAUUGAUCAACUUUUCCCCAACCUCCUUAACCACAAUUUUCCCCAGAGUCCAGUAACCACCACUCCUCUAUCAACUUGUACAUGCGAGGCAAGCACUCUACCAACUGAGCUGUAUCCCCAAGCCCCAAAACAACCAUUCCAAUGUCCAAAAACAUUUCUCCUGUUUUCUUUAGAAGUUUCAUAAUUUCCAGUCUUACAUUUAAGUCUUUAAUUCAUUUUAAGUUGACUUUUGUACCUUUUGACAGAUGGGGGUCUAGUUUCAUCCUUCUUUCUGCAUGUGGAUAUCCAAUAUUCACAGCACCAUUUGUUGAAAAGUCCAUCCUACCUCCAGCAGGUAGAAUGUUUUUUGCAACUUUUUCUAAAAUGAUUUGACUAUUGAUGUGUAGGUUUAUGUCUAGGCUUUCUGUCCUAAGUGCUCUAAGUGUCUGUUUUUAUGCCAAUAACAUGCUGCUGACAUUACUAAGCUUUUUAGUACAUUUUGAAGUUGGGUAAUACGCUGCCUCCUGCACUGUUCUUUUUGCUCAAGAUGGCUUUGAAGUUUCAGGUUUUGCUGUGGUUCCAUACAAAUUUUAGGAAUUUUUUCCAAGUUUUGUAAAGAAUGUCACUGAUGUUUUAUUAUAGGGAUUGCACUCAAUCUAUGGAUUUUGGGGGGUAG